This 68-nucleotide transfer RNA is filed under the name Trichophyton benhamiae CBS 112371. RNAcentral describes it as "Arthroderma benhamiae CBS 112371 tRNA". It matches the Rfam family "tRNA". From Rfam's summary of the family: Transfer RNA (tRNA) molecules are approximately 80 nucleotides in length. Their secondary structure includes four short double-helical elements and three loops (D, anti-codon, and T loops). Further hydrogen bonds mediate the characteristic L-shaped molecular structure. tRNAs have two regions of fundamental functional importance: the anti-codon, which is responsible for specific mRNA codon recognition, and the 3' end, to which the tRNAs corresponding amino acid is attached (by aminoacyl-tRNA synthetases). tRNAs cope with the degeneracy of the genetic code in two manners: having more than one tRNA (with a specific anti-codon) for a particular amino acid; and 'wobble' base-pairing, i.e. permitting non-standard base-pairing at the 3rd anti-codon position. The record is from Rfam by way of RNAcentral. Lineage: Eukaryota; Fungi; Ascomycota; Eurotiomycetes; Onygenales; Arthrodermataceae.
CGGAAUAGUAUAAUUGGUAAUUACAGGGGUCUGCAAAAUCCUUAAUAACAGUUCAAAUCUGUUUUCCG